CUGAUCCUUUCUUUGUCAGUGGGCAAACGUACAAAACCAGCAGGGGAUCAAAUACUUUCCCCCCCCACUGUACAUUGUGGAUAGUGUGUGCGCAUGUUUCAUUUUAUUUUUCCUUGUCAGCCACCCAUCUCUGCUUUGUCAGUCUUGAUAGCCUCACCCAGAAGACACUGGGCCUGUCAGGCAGUGGUGGAGAACAUGGCAGAUCUGAAAGAGAGCUGCACAAAGUGACACUAUGGAACCCUGACCUGCUCAAGGCUCACCAGAGGUACUACCUUGUCCCAGGCCCGCUGUUUGAACCUGUCUCUACCGGACCUACUGUCUCAACCUCUAAAUGCUCAGCUAUGAAGAGCCAACUGGCAUUUACUCCUGAGGUGCUGAACUAUUGCACCCUCUACAACCACUGUGAUUAUUAUGAUUGGAUCCUGCUGGUCAUCUAUGAAUGUUUGAACAUCUUGAAGAAUAAUCUGGCUAAAUGGCUGUACUCUUUUAUAAUAUCCAUCAGCAAAGCCAGAAGAGGACUGGCCACCCCUCAGAGCCUGGUUCCUCUCUAGGUUUCUGCCUUUUAGGACGUUUUUCCUAGCCACAGUGCUUCUACGUCUGCAUUGCUUGCUCUUUGGGGUUUUAGGCCAGGUACCUGUAUAAGCACUUUGACAACUGCUGAUGUAAAAGGGCUUUAUAAAAGACAUUUGAUAGAUUGCUUGUAUAUGCUUCUAUUCAUGUCAGUAACUCUAAAUAUGACAUUUAGUUGCCUUACAUUUCCUCAAUAGGAAGUUGUACCUUAAGCCAACACUUUUCUCCUGGUCUUUCCUGCUGGGGACAGGGGGCUUCAGGUUUGGGAAUGGAGCCUAGAGAAAUGGAAUAUUAGCAAUAAUUAGUGUCCACAUUUCUGAAUGAAUGAAAUUCCAUAUGGGUUAGCUGUGUAUCUCAUCUGAUUGACAAUUGUUGAUGAUAUACUGUAUAUGUCUAUUUUCUUUAGAAAAUCUGCCACCAAACCACACACUUAUAUCUAGUGAUUGUUCACACUACCAUUAUCUUAUUUGACCAAAUCAAAAAUAACACAAUUUUGUCAAUGGACCCAACGAAUAACAAAACAGUAGGAAGGCUAUUGUUGCUGUAUACUGUACCCUACCCCAUCAAACUACUACUAGCUGGUCACAAGGCUACAUUGUUAUCAUUUAGUAAUGUUGUACUGUAAUCUACUGCACCCCAUAUCAACCAACUAGUAGUGACAAGGCUAUAUUGUUGUCAUUCAGUAAUACUGUAACGGUACUGUGGCCCACAACAAAUUAUUAUCCACCUAGCUAGCUAGUGAUAGCUUAGCUAGCUCAAAAUAAACCAUCAGUGAAUGACAACAUACUUUUAAAGGAAAUAUCUAUCUAGCAUGUAUGAUUGCAUGUAACACAACAUUGCAAAGUUUGAACGCAAAGUUUACUGACCAGUAUGCUGUUCUCUCUCGGGAACUAGAGUGAGGGCGGCAUCCAAAUAUGAGGUUAGCUAGCGCCGUUACCGUGGUUAGCAUUAGCUAUGUAAGUAUCUAUCCAGCAACAAUGUCGAGGUCAAAAAACAAAA
This is a long non-coding RNA of Salmo salar (Atlantic salmon), 1569 nucleotides long. RefSeq lists it as uncharacterized. The record is from RefSeq and is a predicted model, not a curated record. NCBI's taxonomy places the organism in Eukaryota, Metazoa, Chordata, Actinopteri, Salmoniformes, Salmonidae.